RNAcentral lists this ribosomal RNA (478 nucleotides) under uncultured bacterium. RNAcentral describes it as "bacterial SSU rRNA". It matches the Rfam family "Bacterial small subunit ribosomal RNA", at positions 958 to 1392 of the family's 1533-position model. The record is from RNAcentral.
UAUCCCCCCCUGUGUGCCCCUUGCCCUCCCCCACCGACCUGCAGAACGCGAAGAACCUUACCAGCCCUUGACAUGGCAGGACGAUUUCCAGAGAUGGAUCUCUUCACUUCGGUGACCUGCACACAGGUGCUGCAUGGCUGUCGUCAGCUCGUGUCGUGAGAUGUUGGGUUAAGUCCCGCAACGAGCGCAACCCUCGCCCUUAGUUGCCAUCAUUUAGUUGGGCACUCUAAGGGGACUGCCGGUGAUAAGCCGCGAGGAAGGUGGGGAUGACGUCAAGUCCUCACGGCCCUUACGGGCUGGGCUACACACGUGCUACAAUGGCGGUGACAAUGGGCAGCGAUGGCGCGAGCCGGAGCUAAUCUCAAAAACCGUCUCAGUUCGGAUUGCACUCUGCAACUCGAGUGCAUGAAGCUGGAAUCGCUAGUAAUCGUGGAUCAGCAUGCCACGGUGAAUACGUUCCCGGGUCUUGUACACACCG